UACAAGCGGCAGGGACUCGGUCCAGUUG
RNAcentral lists this small RNA (28 nucleotides) under Bombyx mori (domestic silkworm). Its description in RNAcentral is "ovarian small RNA-20097". Lineage: Eukaryota; Metazoa; Arthropoda; Insecta; Lepidoptera; Bombycidae. The record is from RNAcentral.